CAUGUCUCAGUACGAACCAAAUUAAGGCGAAACCGCGAAAGGCUCAUUAAAUCAGUUAUGGUUCAUUGGAUCGUACUCAAAAAUUACUCGGAUAACUGUGGUAAUUCUAGAGCUAAUACGUGCUAACAGAGUCCCGACCGGAGACGGAAGGGUCGCUUUUGUCAGAACAAAACCAAUCGGCUUCGGUUCGUCGUCGGGGGUUCCUCACGGAUCUCUCGUCACGUUCCUUUGUCGUACUAAUUGACGAAUACUAGACAACUUUUGCCGAUCGCACGGUCCAGUACCGGCGACGUAUCCUUCAAAUGUCUGACUUAUCAACUGUCGUUGGUAGCCUCUUGGCCUACCAUGGUUAUAACGGGUAACGGGGAAUCAGGGUUCGAUUCCGGAGAGGGAGCCUGAGAAACGGCUACCACAUCCAAGGAAGGCAGCAGGCGCCGCAAAUUACCCACUCCCGGCACGGGGAGGUAGUGACGAAAAAUAACGAUACGGGACUCAUCCGAGGCCCCGUAAUCGGAAUGAGAACACUUUAAAUCCUUUAACGAGGAUCAAUUGGAGGGCAAGUCUGGUGCCAGCAGCCGCGGUAAUUCCAGCUCCAAUAGCGUAUAUUAAAGUUGUUGCGGUUAAAAAGCUCGUAGUCGAAUCUGUGUCUUGCGCCGUCGGUUCAUCGCUCGCGGUGUCAACUGGCGCGUCGCAGGACGUCCUGCCGGACGGGCUUAGCCACGGCGUCGUCCUCCUCUCGCGUCUCGGGCACGUUUCGUCCCGUCGACGUCGUCGCGUCGCGUCGGGGGUGUACUCCUCUGGCACGUGCGCGUGCGGUCGUCUGGCGGGGUCAAAACGGUGCGUGUCGUCUGAGCGCGAGUGCGUCGACGUUCGGGGCGGUCCACCUUUUUUGAAACAAUCCCACCGCGGUGCUCUUCGCUGAGUGUCGAGGUGGGCCGGCACUUUUACUUUGAACAAAUUAGAGUGCUCAAAGCAGGCUAAAAACUCUGCCUGAAUACUUAGUGCAUGGAAUAAUGGAACAGGACCUCGGUUCUAUUUUGUUGGUUUUCGGAACUCCGAGGUAAUGAUCAAUAGAGACGGAUGGGGGCAUUCGUAUUGCGACGUUAGAGGUGAAAUUCUUGGAUCGUCGCAAGACGGACUUAAGCGAAAGCAUUUGCCAAAAACGCUUUCAUU
Molecule: ribosomal RNA, 1173 nt
Filed under: Baconia sp. MSC-2001
Lineage: Eukaryota; Metazoa; Arthropoda; Insecta; Coleoptera; Histeridae
Description: bacterial SSU rRNA
Rfam family: Eukaryotic small subunit ribosomal RNA
Source: RNAcentral